Molecule: long non-coding RNA, 2242 nt
Organism: Panicum virgatum (switchgrass)
Lineage: Eukaryota; Viridiplantae; Streptophyta; Magnoliopsida; Poales; Poaceae
Exons: 4
Source: RefSeq, a predicted model, not a curated record
CCUGCUCCUCUCCGCCCGCAUACUCCCUCCCCUCCGCCCACUUCUGGUGGCCGCCACACCUCCCACUCCGUAUUCGCCUCCAUCUCCCCUCGUCUCCUCCAUUAGCCCUCCUCAGAUCCAGCUUCUGCUGCUCACGUUCAGCACACACCCCCCACCUUCAUCUCCAGCACGGCGCCAGGAGGGGAUGGCGACGACCGAGAUGCGGGACGGGGCGGGGCGGCGGUGGUGAAACCGGUUCUCGCGGCGUGGCCUGGCGGGGCCGGCGUGGCGGGCAGAGGCCACCGCCGCCACCAUCCCAGGAGGUGGGCACGUCGACCGCGCGGCGCGGGAUGAGGUCGACGCCGGCGACGAGCGCCUCGUGGUGCUCCCAGGCCUCCCAUCAUGAAUGCAAGCAGAUAGGCAUAGCCAUCUUCCUCAGCCUUAGAUCCACGUUCUAACGUGGUGAACUGGUGCCUCUACUGCAACCCGACGACGAGCAGCGGCCGUAGUGCUCGGCGAGGCGUAGAAGGUUCGGUGCUGCUGCCUGUCAUGGAGUUUGCCGACGACUGGCUUCAGCGGCGUCCAUCCCCCGUCUAGCAUUGUUUGCAUCAGCAGGUGUAACCUCGCGGAUCCAACUUGACUGGAUCCGUGGCCACCGGAUCCAUCACUGCCGCUGGGAUGUGGAGAGGCAGCUGGUGUUCUUUUUCCUUUCUCGAUUCAAUUUCUGCUAGCGAUUCAUGCAUGUGCACCUUCCCUUUUGAGGUUAUUUCGCCUUAUGCUUCUGAUUUGACAGGCGGGCAGGCAACUCGCAAAUCUCAGCAUCAAGGGCGGAACCGUGCCUGGCCCUCGAGCCCUCCACUUCCGCCUCGAUGGUUGAAGGUAGCGAUUAGACUUGGAGGUGCACCUCACGAGCUUUAUCUGAAGGACGCCAUCCAUGCCGAGUAAGUGGAUUCAUUUGCUGAAAUCUCACCCCUUACUCUGUACUUUAUGUGAAACAAUUCCAUUUAUGACCUACAAUGUACCACAGCUAGGACUAACUUCGUGUGUUCUGGUCCUUUGGUAGCUCCGUGGCACAAGUUUUCUUGCUGAAAAUGUAAAUCCAGUGAAUGCAUACGGUAGAUUUUCAUGCAUCUCAUAGUUCAGUACUUGAUUCAGAAAUUAAUUUAGUGAUGCAUUGUUGCAACCGAACUUGUAAUAUCCAGUUAAUUGUACCAAAUCUCGUGUAUUGGAUUGAUUUCCCCUCAUUUGUUUCUUGUGAAUAAGUGAUUUAUAUAAACUUAAAAGUACUGCUUGCUUAGCUCACUUGAUGAUAAAUAAAAUGAGUUCUAAUUAAACUGGCCUAGCUAUCUUUUCUCUGUUCAUGUUAAUUUAAAUCACAAAUUGAACCCUCUUUUAAUCACAUAUGUAUUCUGAAAGUUUCAGUUGGAAAUUUUGUUGCCUGGAAAUUGCAAUAAUUACUUUCUUUUAAAGUUAGUGAUUCUAUGAUAAAGCUAGUGCAAUAUUGCAGAUAAAGAGAUCUUUUAAAGCCAUAUCGAGGCAACAUUUCAGACUGAUUUAUUCACAUAACCUGUUUGAUUAAAUGCCUUAAUGCUCAACAUCUAUUAUGCCUCUCUAGUCUCUACCGUAACUAUGGAUGUGUUUUUACUUAAGUCUCUUGAAAAGCAAAUGCUUGAGCACAUCUCUUCAUUGUUCUGUCUUUUCCAUUUAUCAUCUGCUGUAAUGAUUAUUAAAUAUCUUCAUUGUGCCCUUGAUGUAUGCUUUGUGCUAACUGCUGUGUUGCUAUUCUGAUGCUUCCACUUCCCAUGGUCUUGAGGCCAGAGCUCCUCGCCGGUGGCCGUGGCGAUGCGCAAGCCCAAGGCUAUUUGUGCAGGGACAACAACAGCUGAGGUCUUUUCUCGUCGACAGUGCAACAAUUGCAGCUAGACUUCUCUCAGUUUGAUCUGAUAGUCUACUCAAGCUUGGCACUUGUAUCAGCAAGGAAGGAAGGAUGCGAGAGACUGACCAUCACAACCCAAAAGAUGGUACAUUUCUAUAAAAAAUGGUUGCAGCAAGCAAGGGAGUAUGUGUUAAUCUGACUUCAACUGAUAUUUUAGAGAACAAGUGUAAUCAACUAUUGACUAUUGUGAUGUGCUUCUGAAUAUAACAUGAGAUGUUGAAUCUUUUGUUUUUUGAGAUUAUGAUAUACUGGACCUAAUAUGUGUAAUUCUGAUAAAUGGGCUGAAAACUUACUAUGUCAUUUGGGCUGAAAUGUUGCUAUGAUGAA